GGUUUUAUAUUCAAUUAUGAUUUUAGACUGCAAUUCUAAAGGUGUAUAUUUAUACUAAGGCCU
Molecule: transfer RNA, 63 nt
Filed under: Tristira magellanica
Lineage: Eukaryota; Metazoa; Arthropoda; Insecta; Orthoptera; Tristiridae
Description: tRNA-Cys
Source: RNAcentral